GGUCCUGCCUGCCCAGUGACUAUAUGUUUAACGGCCGCGGUACUUUGACCGUGCGAAGGUAGCGCAAUCACUUGUCUUUUAAAUGGAGACCUGUAUGAAUGGCACGACGAGGGCUUAACUGUCUCCUUUUUCCAGUCAAUGAAAUUGAUCUUCCCGUGCAGAAGCGGGAAUAAUAUCAUAAGACGAGAAGACCCUGUGGAGCUUUAGACACUAAAUCAGCCCUUGUCCAAAAAUCCCAAUUAAAGGAAUGAACACUAGAGCGAGACCUGAUCUAAUGUCUUCGGUUGGGGCGACCUUGGGGAAAAAAAAUCCCCCAUGCGGAACGGAAAUACCAUGUUUCCAAAACUAAGAGAGACCACUCAAAGUAUCAAAAAUUUUGACCAACUAUAUGAUCCGGCUUAACGCCGAUCAACGGACCGAGUUACCCCAGGGAUAACAGCGCAAUCCUCUUUUAGAGCCCAUAUCGACAAGAGGGUUUACGACCUCGAUGUUGGAUCAGGACAUCCUAAUGGUGCAGCCGCUAUUAAGGGUUCGUUUGUUCAACGAUUAAAGUCCUACGUGA
This 562-nucleotide ribosomal RNA is filed under the name Amphiprion barberi. RNAcentral describes it as "partial 16S ribosomal RNA". It matches the Rfam family "Bacterial large subunit ribosomal RNA", at positions 1851 to 2603 of the family's 2925-position model. The record is from RNAcentral. Lineage: Eukaryota; Metazoa; Chordata; Actinopteri; Pomacentridae.